Molecule: regulatory RNA element, 144 nt
Organism: Shimwellia blattae
Lineage: Bacteria; Pseudomonadati; Pseudomonadota; Gammaproteobacteria; Enterobacterales; Enterobacteriaceae
Rfam family: Leucine operon leader
About the family: At least 6 amino acid operons are known to be regulated by attenuation.
Source: Rfam
UGGGGUCUGACUCAAUGAUUCACACUCAACGCCUACUCGGUCUACUACUAAUCGCAUUUUUCGUGCGCGGUAGCCUGGUGGGCGGCGUUGAACCUUGAGCCUUCUGACCAGCCAAAAAACCCGCGCCGUUGCGCGGGUUUUUUU